UUUCCAGGUGGAUAACUGUCCUCAGUGAACUGCUUGCUUCCAUUGGUAAAGCCAUCUGUUCUUGCCUGAAAGGAAAUAGCAGCCAGCAGUUCAGACCCUGAAGCUGUAACAUGGCUCUGUGUUUGCUGCAUGCUGGCACCACCUGCACACAGAACUUCUGACCCCUGCAGAAGGAUGAAGAGCAAAGAGACAAGAGAACCAGAAGAAAAGCAGUCUACAGAAGAGGCUGGAGCUUCCAUAGUCCACAAGUCUUGCAAUUUUGCCUCAGCACCAAUAUUCUUAUUCUGUGGGUUGAAGAAAAAACACUGAGCUUUGAGCCAGGAUCCUGGUAUGAGAAGACAGCUCUCUCAGCAGUCUACUGCUCUGCCAAGCUCUAAGUAAAACCUAUCAGUCCCAAGUUUGGACACAACUCUUAAGCCUAAUGAAAAUAAAUAAGUAAUGAAAAAGAGA
Molecule: long non-coding RNA, 450 nt
Organism: Parus major (Great Tit)
Lineage: Eukaryota; Metazoa; Chordata; Aves; Passeriformes; Paridae
Exons: 3
Source: RefSeq, a predicted model, not a curated record